AGCUCUUUAAGAAAUUAGAAUAUUCUGUGGCUGAUCGAUUUCCUUGUUUGGUGGCUGAGAUUUUGGUCUUAAUCUCAAAUUUGUGCUGCAUCAUGAACUAUUGAAUAGGUCUGUUUAAUAGCUUUCCAUAUUUCUUUCGCUGUGCUGAGAAACAUGCAUUUAUUACUGAUUUCUAGCAGCAUAGAGUUCCAUAACCAGGACAUUACCAUAGAGUCUUGUUCAUCCCAAGCAUCAAAUUUAGGAUCCUUUGGAUCUGGACCAGCACUGAGCAAAUGGCUCAGUUUCCCUUUUCCUUUCAAAAAAGUCCGAACCAAUUGAGACCACUUGAGAUAAUUUUUCCCAUUCAACCUAUAUGCUGCCUGAAUAUUCUGCAGUUCUCCUGUUGAUGCAGAAUUGUUGUUGCUGAUCAAAGGAGCUGCAGAGGUGUUACUGGUUUCUGUGACUUCUGACAUAGUUGAUAGGCUGAAGAAAUCAGAAGUUAUACAGAGGGAAAAAGAGUUUCACAGACUCUGUUUUGUAAUCAACAGGCUCUGUUUAGCAAAGAAAAAACAAAGAUUCACAAACUCUGUUUUGGAACAAAAAAAAAAAAGGGAUCAACUGGCAAUGAAGACCACUGAGGGCAAUGAAGAUCACUGACAAUGAAUCCAAAAAAAAAAUGCUUAAGGUUCUGAUACCAUGACAGAAAUUGAACUCUUUCUGUGUAUAUUGAAUUGAAUUAAAAGAAACAUGGUACAUUGGUAUAUAUACAGCAAACAGAAUUCUAUCCUAGGUAACUUCCUAAUUCUAUUCUAGUUGACUUCCUGACAAAUCAAUAGAAAUUAAUACUGAUUAAAACAAAUAAAAAUCUAAUCCCUAAAAAUUAGAUAUUACAUAGCUGUACAAAUAGAUCCCUAAAAAUUAGGGAUUACAUUAGCUGUACACAUUGCUGUACAGUAUUUUCCGACAGUACCAUCUCCUUCCUGUGUUGUUUUCUUGCCCAAAGAUUUGAAGAAUUCCAACAGCUAUCAUGACUAAUCAUUAAAUGCAGGAUUCUACUCGAGUGUGGGAUUCCUGCAUUCUCUGAACACAAAUAUUUGUCUCCUGCAUUUCAACUUUAUCAUGUCAGUUAGGAUCACCCAUCUUGUUCAGCUCUGGUACCAAGUUGAUAAGGGCUCUUGUGUAGGAUCGAGUUAAUGGACGGUGAACGGGGUAAUCCUCCUCAGAUUGUGAAGAUGGUCCCUUGUUGAUGUUCUUGCCUUUCAUUGAACCCAUUGCGAUUGAAAAGAGAGCUCAUUUGAGGGACCUCAUUUCUUCUAGAUAAUUUGUAAAUAAUUAUGCUUGGUUUUAUUGAUGAAAUUGUUCUCUUUAAAUAGAUAUUACAUAACAGCAUUUUCCAAGAUAGGAACCCGUAAUCAAUGAUUUUUAAUUGAAAUUAAAGACCUCUAAAAAUAAGCACCUUAUUCAGGAAACUAUUGAAAAAUUAUCUGCUGCCAUCUUUGUUGCCGAUGCCUUUCUCAUUCAAUGCCUCACAUAUCGUGUAUGCCUUUCCUAUGAAAGCAUCUGUAACAUUAUGCUGACUUGAAUGAAGAGGAAGAUAAAACUCCAACAUAAAUAGAGCAUGGAGGAGAGUCUGCAAGACUACAACAUAUUCAAGAUGCAUUUUACCAAAUUUCAUUUAGAAAAUGAAAUUAAAGUACAAAGUAACUAUUGUGGUCAAAUAUUCAAAUUCAAAGAGGAUGGCGGGUAGAGUGGCAUUUGCAAAACAAGAGGAUACUGGGGCAUCUUAAUUAUUAACAAUUAAGAUCAAGCCUGAUUAAUUUUUUUCCCAAAAUUUUCAUUUGCAAUUGCACAAAAAAAGUUAUUUUUUAAAAUUUACUCAUUAUAUUUUUUUCCCUUUCAUUUCCAC
Molecule: unclassified non-coding RNA, 1885 nt
Filed under: Hevea brasiliensis (rubber tree)
Lineage: Eukaryota; Viridiplantae; Streptophyta; Magnoliopsida; Malpighiales; Euphorbiaceae
Source: RNAcentral